CCUACGGGAGGCUGCAGUGAGGAAUAUUGGUCAAUGGGCGAGAGCCUGAACCAGCCAAGUAGCGUGAAGGAUGACCGCCCUACGGGUUGUAAACUUCUUUUAUAAAGGAAUAAAGUGAGGCACGUGUGCCUUUUUGGAUGUACUUUAUGAAUAAGGACCGGCUAAUUCCGUGCCAGCAGCCGCGGUAAUCCGGAGGAUCCGAGCGUUACCCGGGUUUAUUUGGUUUAAAGGGACCGUAGCUGGGUUGUUAAGUAAGGUGUGAAAUUUUGCGGCUCAACCGUCAAAUUGCAAUUGAUACUGGGGUUCUAGAGUACAGGUGAGGUAUGCGGAAUUCGUGGUGUAGCGGUGAAAUGCUUAGAUAUCACGAAGAACUCCGAUUGCGAAGGCAGCUUACUGGACUGCAACUGACGUUGAUGCUCGAAAGUGUGGGUAUCGAACAGGAUUAGAUACCCUGGUAGUC
Molecule: ribosomal RNA, 460 nt
Filed under: uncultured bacterium
Lineage: Bacteria
Description: partial 16S ribosomal RNA
Rfam family: Bacterial small subunit ribosomal RNA
Source: RNAcentral